Chenopodium quinoa (quinoa) is the source of this 571-nucleotide long non-coding RNA. RefSeq lists it as uncharacterized. The transcript has 2 exons. NCBI's taxonomy places the organism in Eukaryota, Viridiplantae, Streptophyta, Magnoliopsida, Caryophyllales, Amaranthaceae. The record is from RefSeq and is a predicted model, not a curated record.
AAACAUUCAAGUGUUAAAUGUAGUCCAAAAGGUGAGGAUGAUAACAAGGUCUUAUCAUCAACUUCUCGUGUUGAUGUACAUCCUGCGCUGAAGAAGAAGAAGUUGCACUGGGGGUUAGACGCGAAAGAACGGUGGGAAAGAAAGGCCAACAUGUAGAAUUUACGGAUUUACUCAAAUGGAAAAGAAGCAUAUCGAUUAUGGUCUCAGCAUGGCAGACUCUAAGCAUUUUAAUUGUUCACUUUCUGCAGCUUAGUUGGGGAUGAUCCUGCAGUCUGCAUUUUGGUCGAUGAAUACUGGGAUUACUUUGGAUGAAUUAUGAAGGAUAUUGCACUUGCAAAUACUCUUUAGUCUUUACUAGUGAUUACUUAUCUGUUGUCUCGAAUGGGAAGGGACUGUUAUGCAUCAAGGGAAGGGGUUUGUUUGUUCUUUGUAGUGGCUGUGUAGCAGUGUAGGUUAUGGAGGGGAGCAAAGAGCUUUUGUAUAUCUAGUUAAGGACGAAGAGGUUGUAGUACUGGCAAAUUAUUUGUAGAAUCAAUUUGUUGUUAUCAUUUGUUGAAUCAAUUUUCUCCUA